Molecule: small nuclear RNA, 63 nt
Filed under: Mus spicilegus (steppe mouse)
Lineage: Eukaryota; Metazoa; Chordata; Mammalia; Rodentia; Muridae
Description: U7 small nuclear RNA (ENSMSIG00000001636.1)
Rfam family: U7 small nuclear RNA
About the family: Animal histone pre-mRNAs are spliced by a different mechanism than nuclear pre-mRNAs and self-splicing introns. This processing involves the U7 snRNP, which contains only one RNA species: U7.
Source: Rfam by way of RNAcentral
AGCUGUUACAGCUCUCUGGCAAUUUUUUCUAACAGGUUUUCUGUCUUCUGUCAGGAAACCCAA